Molecule: ribosomal RNA, 401 nt
Filed under: uncultured bacterium
Lineage: Bacteria
Description: bacterial SSU rRNA
Rfam family: Bacterial small subunit ribosomal RNA
Source: RNAcentral
UAUUGGACAAUGGGCGCAAGCCUGAUCCAGCAAUACCGCGUGUGUGAAGAAGGCCUUAGGGUUGUAAAGCACUUUCAAUUGGGAGGAAAACCUGCCGGUCAAUACCCGGUAGCUUGACAUUACCUUUAGAAGAAGCACCGGCCAACUCCGUGCCAGCAGCCGCGGUAAUACGGAGGGUGCGAGCGUUAAUCGGAAUUACUGGGCGUAAAGCGUGCGUAGGCGGUUCGUUAAGUCAGAUGUGAAAGCCCUGGGCUCAACCUGGGAACGGCAUUUGAAACUGGCGGACUAGAGUUUAGUAGAGGGGAGUGGAAUUUCAGGUGUAGCGGUGAAAUGCGUAGAUAUCUGAAGGAACACCAGGGGCGAAGGCGACUCCCUGGACUAGAACUGACGCUGAGACGAAA